GAAGAAUUUACAUCUUUACUACGUUGAAUCCUCCAAUACAUGAACAUGAAAUGUCUCUCCAUUUUUUUAGAUUUUCUUUUAUUUCAUUCAUCAGUGUUUAAUGUUUAACAUAUGUUUUAUUAGACUGACAUCUAAAUAUUUCAUUUCUUGGGGUGAUUAAAAUGUUACUGUAGUUUUAAAUUUGGUGUCCAUUUUUAGUGUCAUCACUAGUAUAUAGAAAUACAACUGAUUUGUCGGGCCAAGUGUGGUGACUCAUGCCUGUAAUCCCAGCACUUUGGGAGGCCGAGGUGGGUAGAUCGCUUGAAUCCAAGAGUUCUAGACCAGCCUGGGCAGCACAGCAGAACCCCAUCUCUACUAAAAAUACAAUAAAAUUCGCCGGGCACGGUGGCAUGGGCCUGUAGGCUCAGCUACUCAGAGGGCAGAGGCAGAAGGAUUGCUUGAGCCAGGAGGUAAAGGCUGCAGUGAGCCGAGAUCUCACUACUGCACUCUAGCCUGCCCUGUCUCAAAAAAAUAAAUAAAUAAAUAAAUAAAUAAAUAAAUAAUAAAAAGAAAAAGAAAAAGAAAGAAAUGCAAUUGAUUUUUAUAUGCUUAUCUUGUAUUCUCUGGCCUUACUGAACAUAGGAAUGUUUUUUUGGAUGCUUUGUGAUUGUCUAUGUAGAAAAUUGUGUAAUCUGCAAAAAGGGACAGUUUUAUUUCUUCCUUUCUGAUAUUUAUUCCUGUUUUUUUUUCUUGCCUUAUUGCCUGGCUAGAAUAUCCAGCACUAUGUUGAAUAGCAGUGAUAAGGGCAAAUAUCCUUGCCUUGUUUUCAAUCUUAGAAAGUAUUUAGUUUUUUAUCACUAAGUAAAAUGUUAGUUGUAGGGUUUUUGUAGAUGCUCUUUAUCGGGUUGAGGAAGUUCCUAUUUGUGUUUUUCUGAGAUGUUUUGUCACAAAUGGUCAAAUACUUUUCUGCAUAUAAUCAUGUGUUUUUUCUUCUUUAUUAAAAUGGUAGAUAAUAUUGAUUAAUUUUCUAAUAUUGAACUAGCCUUGCACCCCUGGGGUAAAUCCCACUUAGUUAUGACGUAUAAUUUUAUAUAUAUAUAUUUUUUAUUAUUAUACUUUAAGUUCUAGGGUACAUGUGCACAAUGUGCAGGUUUGUUACAUAUGUAUACAUGUGCCAUGUUGGUGUGCUGCACCCAUUAACUCGUCAUUUACAUUAGGUAUAUCUCCUAAUGCUAUCCCUCCCCGCCACCCCCACGCCACAACAGGCCCCAGUGUGUGAUGUUCCCCUUCCUGUGUCCAAGUGUUCUCAUUGUUCAAUUCCCACCUAUGUGUGAGAACAUGUGGUGUUUGGUUUUUUUGUCCUUGCGAUAGUUUGCUGACAAUGAUGGUUUCCAGCUUCAUCCAUGUCCCUACAAAGGACAUGAACUCAUCCUUUUUUAUGGCUGUGUAGUAUUCCAUCGUGUGUAUGUGCACAUUUUCUUAAUCCAGUCUAUCAUUGUUGGACAUUUGGCUUGGUUCCAAGUCUUUGCUAUUGUGAGUAGUGCCGCAAUAAAUAUACAUGUGCAUGUGUCUUUAUAGCAGCAUGAUUUAUAGUCCUUUGGGUAUAUACCCCAUAAUGGGAUGGCUGGGUCAAAUGGUAUUUCUAGUUCUAGAUCCCUGAGGAAUCACCACACCAUCUUCCACAAUGGUUGAACUAGUUUACAGUCCCACCAACAGUGUAAAAGUGUUCCUAUUUCUCCAAAUCCUCUCCAGCACCUGUUGUUUCCUGACUUUUUAAUGAUUGCCAUUCUAACUAGUGUGAGAUGAUAUCUCAUUGUGGUUUUGAUUUGCAUUUCUCUGAUGGCCAGUGAUGAUGAGCAUUUCUUCAUGAUGAGCAUGUCUGUUGGCUGCAUAAAUGUCUUCUUUUGAGAAGUGUCUGUUCAUAUCCUUCACCCACUUUCUGAUGGGGUUAUUUGUUUCUUGUAAAUUUGAGUUCUUUGUAGAUUCUGGAUAUUAGCCCUUUGUCAGAUGAGUAGAUUGCAAAAAUUUUCUCCCAUUCUGUAGGUUGCCUGUUCACUCUGACGGUAGUUUCUUUUGCUGUGCAGAAGCUCUUUAGUUUAAUUAGAUCCCAUUUGUCAAUUUUGGCUUUGGUUGCCAUUGCUUUUGGUGGUUUAGACAUGAAGUCCUUGCCCAUGCCUAUGUCCUGAAUGGUAUUGCCUAGGUUUUCUUCUAGGGUUUUUAUGGUUUUAGGUCUUACAUUUAAGUCUUUAAUCCAUCCUGAAUUAAUUUUUGUAUAAGGUGUAAGGAAGGGAUCCAGUUUCAGCUUUCUACAUAUGGCUAGCCAGUUUUCCCAGCACCAUUUAUUAAAUAGAGAAUCCUUUCCCCAUUUCUUGUUUUUGUCAGGUUUGUCAAAGAUCAGAUAGUUGUAGAUGUGUGGUAUUAUUUCUGAGGGUUCUGUUCUGUUCCAUUGGUCUAUAUCUCUGUUUUGGUACCAGUACCAUGCUGUUUUGGUUACUGUAGGCUUGUAGUAUAGUUUGAAGUCAGGUAGCACGAUGCCUCCAGCUUUGUUCUUUUGGCUUAGGAUUAACUUGGCGACGCGGGCUCUUUUUUGGUUCCAUAUGAACUUUAAAGUAGUUUUUUCCAAUUCUGUGAAGAAAGUCAUUGGUAGCUUGAUGGAGAUGGUAUUGAAUCUAUAAAUUACCUUGGGCAGUAUGGCCAUUUUCACGAUAUUGAUUCUUCCUAUCCAUGAGCAUGGAAUGUUUUGCUAUUUGUUUGUGUCCUCUUUCAUUUCAUUGAGCGGUGGUUUGUAGUUCUCCUUGAAGAGGUCCUUCACAUCCCUUGUAAGUUGGAUUCCUAGGUAUUUCAUUCUCUUUGAAGCAAUUGUGAAUGUGAGUUCACUCAUGAU
This 2863-nucleotide long non-coding RNA is filed under the name Homo sapiens (human). RNAcentral's name for it is "non-protein coding lnc-BARX2-1:1". The record is from RNAcentral. Lineage: Eukaryota; Metazoa; Chordata; Mammalia; Primates; Hominidae.